RNAcentral lists this ribosomal RNA (796 nucleotides) under uncultured bacterium. Its description in RNAcentral is "bacterial SSU rRNA". It matches the Rfam family "Bacterial small subunit ribosomal RNA", at positions 8 to 798 of the family's 1533-position model. The record is from RNAcentral.
AGAGUUUGAUCAUGGCUCAGAUUGAACGCUGGCGGCAGGCUUAACACAUGCAAGUCGAGCGGAGAGAGGUAGCUUGCUACUGAUCUUAGCGGCGGACGGGUGAGUAAUGCUUAGGAAUCUGCCUAUUAGUGGGGGACAACAUUUCGAAAGGAAUGCUAAUACCGCAUACGUCCUACGGGAGAAAGCAGGGGAUCUUCGGACCUUGCGCUAAUAGAUGAGCCUAAGUCGGAUUAGCUAGUUGGUGGGGUAAAGGCCUACCAAGGCGACGAUCUGUAGCGGGUCUGAGAGGAUGAUCCGCCACACUGGGACUGAGACACGGCCCAGACUCCUACGGGAGGCAGCAGUGGGGAAUAUUGGACAAUGGGCGCAAGCCCGAUCCAGCCAUGCCGCGUGUGUGAAGAAGGCCUUAUGGUUGUAAAGCACUUUAAGCGAGGAGGAGGCUACUUUAGAUAAUACCUAGAGAUAGUGGACGUUACUCGCAGAAUAAGCACCGGCUAACACUGUGCCAGCAGCCGCGGUAAUACAGAGGGUGCAAGCGUUAAUCGGAUUUACUGGGCGUAAAGCGCGCGUAGGCGGCUAAUUAAGUCAAAUGUGAAAUCCCCGAGCUUAACUUGGGAAUUGCAUUCGAUACUGGUUAGCUAGAGUGUGGGAGAGGAUGGUAGAAUUCCAGGUGUAGCGGUGAAAUGCGUAGAGAUCUGGAGGAAUACCGAUGGCGAAGGCAGCCAUCUGGCCUAACACUGACGCUGAGGUGCGAAAGCAUGGGGAGCAAACAGGAUUAGAUACCCUGGUAGUCCAA